Molecule: ribosomal RNA, 468 nt
Filed under: uncultured bacterium
Lineage: Bacteria
Description: partial 16S ribosomal RNA
Rfam family: Bacterial small subunit ribosomal RNA
Source: RNAcentral
GACGAACGCUGGCGGCGUGCUUAACACAUGCAAGUCGAACGGAAAGGCCCUGCUUUUGUGGGGUGCUCGAGUGGCGAACGGGUGAGUAACACGUGAGUAACCUGCCCUUGACUUUGGGAUAACUUCAGGAAACUGGGGCUAAUACCGGAUAGGAGCUCCUGCUGCAUGGUGGGGGUUGGAAAGUUUCGGCGGUUGGGGAUGGACUCGCGGCUUAUCAGCUUGUUGGUGGGGUAGUGGCUUACCAAGGCUGUGACGGGUAGCCGGCAUGAGAGGGUGACCGGCCACAUUGGGACUGAGAUACGGCCCAGACUCCUACGGGAGGCAGCAGUGGGGAAUAUUGCACAAUGGGCGGAAGCCUGAUGCAGCAACGCCGCGUGCGGGAUGACGGCCUUCGGGUUGUAAACCGCUUUCGCCUGUGACGAAGCGUGAGUGACGGUAAUGGGUAAAGAAGCACCGGCUAACUACGUG